Molecule: long non-coding RNA, 232 nt
Filed under: Elaeis guineensis (African oil palm)
Lineage: Eukaryota; Viridiplantae; Streptophyta; Magnoliopsida; Arecales; Arecaceae
Description: long non-coding RNA (EGUI_LNC022838)
Source: RNAcentral
ACUGCCUCCAUCUUGGAUAAACUCUUUUUUCAAAAAGAUGGUAUAAUGGCUCACAAUCACAUUGUGAUCCUCAAAAAGAUAGAAGUGGUAUCUCAUGGUUUUCUUAGGAUAUCCUAUAAAGCGAGUCCUAAAGGACCUAGCCUCUAACUUGUCUGCUUGCUGUCACUUGACAUGGAUCAGACAUCUCCAAAUCUUGAGAUAUCCAAGAGUUGGCUUCUUACCAUAUCAUAAC